This 253-nucleotide ribosomal RNA is filed under the name uncultured bacterium. RNAcentral's name for it is "partial 16S ribosomal RNA". It matches the Rfam family "Bacterial small subunit ribosomal RNA", at positions 524 to 776 of the family's 1533-position model. The record is from RNAcentral.
UACGUAGGGUGCAAGCGUUGUCCGGAAUUAUUGGGCGUAAAGAGCUCGUAGGCGGUUUGUUGCGUCGGCUGUGAAAUCCCGAGGCUCAACCUCGGGUCUGCAGUCGAUACGAGCAAACUAGAGUGUUGCAGGGGAGACUGGAAUUCCUGGUGUAGCGGUGAAAUGCGCAGAUAUCAGGAGGAACACCGGUGGCGAAGGCGGGUCUCUGGGCAUUCCCUGACGCUGAGGAGCGAAAGUGUGGGGAGCGAACAGG